GACGAACGCUGGCGGCGUGCCUAAUACAUGCAAGUUGAGCGCUGAAGGUUGGUACUUGUACCCACUGGAUGAGCAGCGAACGGGUGAGUAACGCGUGGGGAAUCUGCCUUUGAGCGGGGGACAACAUUUGGAAACGAAUGCUAAUACCGCAUAAAAACUUUAAACACAAGUUUUAAGUUUGAAAGAUGCAAUUGCAUCACUCAAAGAUGAUCCCGCGUUGUAUUAGCUAGUUGGUGAGGUAAAGGCUCACCAAGGCGAUGAUACAUAGCCGACCUGAGAGGGUGAUCGGCCACGUUGGGACUGAGACACGGCCCAAACUCCUACGGGAGGCAGCAGUAGGGAAUCUUCGGCAAUGGACGAAAGUCUGACCGAGCAACGCCGCGUGAGUGAAGAAGGUUUUCGGAUCGUAAAACUCUGUUGGUAGAGAAGAACGUUGGUGAGAGUGGAAAGCUCAUCAAGUGACGGUAACUACCCAGAAAGGGACGGCUAACUACGUG
This 497-nucleotide ribosomal RNA is filed under the name uncultured bacterium. RNAcentral describes it as "partial 16S ribosomal RNA". It matches the Rfam family "Bacterial small subunit ribosomal RNA", at positions 28 to 507 of the family's 1533-position model. The record is from RNAcentral.